Long non-coding RNA from Beta vulgaris subsp. vulgaris (sugar beet), 290 nucleotides. RefSeq lists it as uncharacterized. Lineage: Eukaryota; Viridiplantae; Streptophyta; Magnoliopsida; Caryophyllales; Amaranthaceae. The record is from RefSeq and is a predicted model, not a curated record. The transcript has 2 exons.
CGGUACAAGAAGGUGGACUUGCGUGUGGGUAUUACGUCAUGAGGUUCAUGCUCGAUAUCGUCAACUAUUGCAAAGAUGUUGGUGAUCUUCGAAAGGUUUAUGCGAAUUCCACACCACGUUUGAGGAACUUCACCAAAGAAGAAAUUGAUGAAGUUCGGGAUAAGUUGGCGUCCCACAUUACCGAUGAUUACAUAGGAUGAGAUUUAGCCCGAAUGUAAAAGUUUCUAUCAAUCCUAUGUACACUUUUUACAUUAUUAAAUAUAUAUGAAGUUAAUUAUUACCUUUCUCCA